Molecule: ribosomal RNA, 450 nt
Filed under: uncultured Neisseriales bacterium
Lineage: Bacteria; Pseudomonadati; Pseudomonadota; Betaproteobacteria; Neisseriales
Description: bacterial SSU rRNA
Rfam family: Bacterial small subunit ribosomal RNA
Source: RNAcentral
GGACCCGCACAAGCGGUGGAUGAUGUGGAUUAAUUCGAUGCAACGCGAAGAACCUUACCUGGUCUUGACAUGUACGGAAUCUUUUAGAGAUAGAAGAGUGCCUUCGGGAACCGUAACACAGGUGCUGCAUGGCUGUCGUCAGCUCGUGUCGUGAGAUGUUGGGUUAAGUCCCGCAACGAGCGCAACCCUUGUCAUUAGUUGCUAGCAUUAAGUUGAGCACUCUAAUGAGACUGCCGGUGAUAAACCGGAGGAAGGUGGGGAUGAUGUCAAGUCCUCAUGGCCCUUAUGACCAGGGCUUCACACGUCAUACAAUGGUAGGUACAGAGAGUAGCCAAGCCGCGAGGUGGAGCCAAUCUCAGAAAGCCUAUCGUAGUCCGGAUUGUAGUCUGCAACUCGACUACAUGAAGUCGGAAUCGCUAGUAAUCGCAGAUCAGCAUGCUGCGUGAAUCG